Molecule: ribosomal RNA, 419 nt
Filed under: bacterium
Lineage: Bacteria
Description: partial 16S ribosomal RNA
Rfam family: Bacterial small subunit ribosomal RNA
Source: RNAcentral
UGGGGGAUAUUGCACAAUGGGCGCAAGCCUGAUGCAGCGACGCCGCGUGGGGGAUGAAGGCCUUCGGGUUGUAAACUUCUUUUGCUCUGAACAAGGCGCACUUUGGGGUGUGUUGAGUGUAGGGGUUGAUUAGCGCCGGCUAACUACGUGCCAGCAGCCGCGGUAAUACGUGGGGCGCGAGCGUUGUCCGGAAUUAUUGGGCGUAAAGGGCUUGUAGGUGGCUGGUUGCGUCUGUCGUGAAAGCUCAUGGCUUAACUGUGGGUUUGCGGUGGGUACGGGCUGGCUUGAGUGCAGUAGGGGAGGCUGGAAUUCCUGGUGUAGCGGUGGAAUGCGCAGAUAUCAGGAGGAAUACCGGUGGCGAAGGCGGGUCUCUGGGCUGUUACUGACACUGAGGAGCGAAAGCAUGGGGAGCGAACAGG